AUCAAAUCAAUCGAUCCGUCUAAUUCAUCAUUUCACAUUAAAUUGCUCAUAUUGAUCACAUCGAUUACAAUUAUCAAUUAAUCUUCGUAAAAGUCUCGUUUCAUUUAAAAUAAAAUAAGAGAUAAAAUCAGCAUAAAGAACGGUUAAUGUGUGCAGCUACUUGGACACAUUAAUUUCAUAUUAUCGCUCGCUGGAAUAUUUGUCUCACCUCGACACGCCUUAUAUUUUCCGCCAUUCGAACAGUGAAAAUCGUGCAUGAAAUGAAAGGAACAAGAUCGACUGGUAACAUCCAAACCCAAAUGGCGACAGACGUCAAAUGCAUGCAGCUAUAGAAAUGAGAGUGCCGCGUUCAAAUCGAGGUUUAUUGAUGAUCCACGUAAUGUGGAAACGAGGAGGCACAUACCAAUCCUGGCCAAUUAAAAACGACACGUUGAUCGAUUUGCGCGAAUAUUUGCGCAUCGUUUUCCAUCGAGCUUAGUUGUGCAACCACCGCUUUCAUCGCUAGCUCGAAUUCCACGAUUUUACGCUGUUUUUCGUGCCGAGUGAUUUUCCAAUCGAUGGACCAGCAUAUUUAAAAUU
Long non-coding RNA from Apis dorsata (giant honeybee), 579 nucleotides. RefSeq lists it as uncharacterized. The transcript is spliced from 2 exons. NCBI's taxonomy places the organism in Eukaryota, Metazoa, Arthropoda, Insecta, Hymenoptera, Apidae. The record is from RefSeq and is a predicted model, not a curated record.